RNAcentral lists this ribosomal RNA (419 nucleotides) under uncultured bacterium. RNAcentral's name for it is "partial 16S ribosomal RNA". It matches the Rfam family "Bacterial small subunit ribosomal RNA", at positions 360 to 771 of the family's 1533-position model. The record is from RNAcentral.
AAUAUUGGUCAAUGGGGGCAACCCUGAUCCAGCAAUGCAGUGUGAUUGAAGAAGGUCUNCUGAUUNUNAAGCACUUUAAGUUGGGNGGAAGGGCUUUAGGUUAAUACCCUCAAGUUUUCACGUUACCAAAAGAAUAAGCACCGGCUAACUCUGUGCCAGCAGCCGCGGUAAUACAGAGGGUGCAAGCGUUAAUCGGAAUUACUGGGCGUAAAGCGCGCGUAGGUGGUUCAGUAAGAUGGGUGUGAAAUCCCCGGGCUUAACCUGGGAACUGCUUUCAUAACUGCUGAGCUAGAGUACGGUAGAGGGUAGUGGAAUUUCCUGUGUAGCGGUGAAAUGCGUAGAUAUAGGAAGGAACACCAGUGGCGAAGGCGACUACCUGGACUGAUACUGACACUGAGGUGCGAAAGCGUGGGGAGCAA